AUACGUAGGGUGCGAGCGUUGUCCGGAAUUACUGGGCGUAAAGAGCUCGUAGGUGGUUUGUCGCGUCGUCUGUGAAAUUCCGGGGCUUAACUCCGGGCGUGCAGGCGAUACGGGCAUAACUUGAGUACUGUAGGGGAGACUGGAAUUCCUGGUGUAGCGGUGAAAUGCGCAGAUAUCAGGAGGAACACCGGUGGCGACGGCGGGUCUCUGGGCAGUAACUGACACUGAGGAGCGAAAGCAUGGGUAGCGAACAGGAUUAGAUACCCUGGUAGUCCAUGCCGUAAACGGUGGGCGCUAGGUGUAGGGGUCUUCCACGACUUCUGUGCCGUAGCUAACGCAUUAAGCGCCCCGCCUGGGGAGUACGGCCGCAAGGUUAAAACUCAAAUGAAUUGACGGGG
RNAcentral lists this ribosomal RNA (398 nucleotides) under uncultured bacterium. RNAcentral describes it as "partial 16S ribosomal RNA". It matches the Rfam family "Bacterial small subunit ribosomal RNA", at positions 523 to 918 of the family's 1533-position model. The record is from RNAcentral.